Molecule: ribosomal RNA, 497 nt
Filed under: uncultured bacterium
Lineage: Bacteria
Description: partial 16S ribosomal RNA
Rfam family: Bacterial small subunit ribosomal RNA
Source: RNAcentral
GACGAACGCUGGCGGCGUGCCUAAUACAUGCAAGUAGAACGCUGAAGAGAGGAACUUACUCUUCUUGGAUGAGUUGCGAACGGGUGAGUAACGCGUAGGUAACCUGCCUUGUAGCGGGGGAUAACUAUUGGAAACGAUAGCUAAUACCGCAUAACAAUGGAUGACACAUGUCAUUUAUUUGAAAGGGGCAAUUGCUCCACUACAAGAUGGACCUGCGUUGUAUUAGCUAGUAGGUGAGGUAAUGGCUCACCUAGGCGACGAUACAUAGCCGACCUGAGAGGGUGAUCGGCCACACUGGGACUGAGACACGGCCCAGACUCCUACGGGAGGCAGCAGUAGGGAAUCUUCGGCAAUGGGGGCAACCCUGACCGAGCAACGCCGCGUGAGUGAAGAAGGGUUUCGGAUCGUAAAGCUCUGUUGUAAGUCAAGAACGGGUGUGAGAGUGGAAAGUUCACACUGUGACGGUAGCUUACCAGAAAGGGACGGCUAACUACGUG